CUGAAGGUCCGAGUACACAGUUAUUUCGUAGUGCAUUUCUUUUGGACAAUAAAUGAAAAUUAAAAAAAUCCCACCUGCGCUUUCUCAAUAAUAUUUUUACAGUGUGUUGUACUACUUUUGGGACAAAUUAUAUCAAAAUUAUAGAAAACUUCAUCAGCUCUAACUCAAAAUAUGGACAAUUUUAUGUUAAGGGAGUCUUGAAAUCUUUUGACAGCAUCCGAAGUGCUAAUUUUUGACCUUUUUCAGCUGGACCUAAUCACUACUUUGCAUUAAUAUUUAUGACCCAAAUUUUUUUACAGUGUCAUUUCACCCCC
This 314-nucleotide long non-coding RNA is filed under the name Mytilus galloprovincialis (Mediterranean mussel). The record is from RNAcentral. Lineage: Eukaryota; Metazoa; Mollusca; Bivalvia; Mytilida; Mytilidae.